GUUGAUGUUUCUCUUUUCCCCUUCACGUCUCUUUUUAAAAUAAAUAUUUUUAAAAAUUUUCUUUACAUUUUAGAAUGCAAGUAAUGUGUAUUUUGUUCUCUACAUGUGCAAAUUUGAAUUUUUUUUUAACAAGGCAGGAAGAGUAAACUUAUUUAUUUCUGAGAAUGUUAAUUUACUUGAAUGUAAUUAAACCAUGAAUUUUCCUGAAUUAAAGUCUAA
Pipistrellus kuhlii (Kuhl's pipistrelle) is the source of this 219-nucleotide long non-coding RNA. RefSeq lists it as uncharacterized. The transcript has 2 exons. The record is from RefSeq and is a predicted model, not a curated record. Lineage: Eukaryota; Metazoa; Chordata; Mammalia; Chiroptera; Vespertilionidae.